AUGUGGUCAAGUUAUUAAGGGCGCAUAGUGGAUGCCUUGGCAUAAGAUGGCGAUGAAAGGCGCGGUAAGCUGCGAUAAGCUACGCUGAGAUGCAAACAAUUUUUGACGCGUAGAUUCCUGAAUGGAGAAAUCCACUCCGAUGUUAAAUCGGAGUAUCCCCCCUGCUUUCUUGCGAAAGCAAGAAGGGGGAGAACAGCAAGAAGGGGGGAGGCUAUACCAGGGGAAUUGAAACAUCUUAGUACCCUGAGGAAAAGAAACCAAUAGGUAUUCCCCGAGUAGUGGCGAGCGAAAGGGGAGAAGUCAAAAUUUUGCUAUACGUAUAGGCCAUAUCCGUUGUAUAGCGAGAAGUUGUGGGGUCUGGAAGGGCUGGAGUAUGGUCCAGCCGAGAAGUUAAAAAAUUUCUUCUUAGUUGAAUAAUACUGGAAAGGUUAACCAGAGAAGGUGAAAGUCCUGUAAGCGAAAAGAAGAAACCUUCUUUUUUCAGAUUCCCAAGUACUGCGGGACACGUGAAAUCCUGCAGGAAUCUGGCCCGACCAUGGGCCAAGACUAAAUACACACUUAUGACCGAUAGUGAACUAGUACCGUGAGGGAAAGGUGAAAAGUACCCCGAGAGGGGAGUGAAAAGUACCUGAAACUAUGUGCUUACAAGCAGUGGAAGGACUAUGUUUCUAAUUCCGAUAACACUCGUGGUUAUCGGGAAAAGAAACAGUCUGACCGCGUGCCUUUUGCAGAAUGAGCCAGUGAGUUACAUCGGUGUAGCAAGGUUAAGUCGCCCAAGGCGACGAAGCCGUAGCGAAAGCGAGUCUGAACAGGGCGUCAUAGUUACAUCGAGUAGACCCGAAACUGAGUGAUCUAUCCAUGGUCAAGAUGAAGGUCGCCGAAAGGCGACUGGAGGUCUGAACCCAUUAGCCUUGAGAAGCUACGGGAUGAACUGUGGAUAGGGGUGAAAGGCCAAUCUAACUCAGAGAUAGCUGGUUCUCCCCGAAAUAGAAGGCGACUGGAGGUCUGAACCCAUUAGCCUUGAGAAGCUACGGGAUGAACUGUGGAUAGGGGUGAAAGGCCAAUCUAACUCAGAGAUAGCUGGUUCUCCCCGAAAUAG
Molecule: ribosomal RNA, 1099 nt
Filed under: Candidatus Desantisbacteria bacterium CG1_02_38_46
Lineage: Bacteria; Candidatus Desantisiibacteriota
Description: bacterial LSU rRNA
Rfam family: Bacterial large subunit ribosomal RNA
Source: RNAcentral